Molecule: RNA transcript, 1540 nt
Organism: Paramacrobiotus metropolitanus
Lineage: Eukaryota; Metazoa; Tardigrada; Eutardigrada; Parachela; Macrobiotidae
Exons: 8
Source: RefSeq, a predicted model, not a curated record
AGCAAGAUGUUCCUUUGGUGGAGAAGAAGAAAAGCGAAGAAAAAGUGGUCCAACCUUAGGAAGAGAUAAUGGUUAUUGAAGCCGAUGCUAUCGAGGAGGCUGUAAUGGAUCAGGAGGCGUUGAAAUCCGACGAUGAAUCUCGUGGUCAACCCAUUGCGGUGAAAAUUGGUCGUGGUGGCGGCCAGAAGCGCGCACAUGAAGAACGGGAAAGGGACAUCCGCAGUGUCACGGCUCCCGUGCCGGCCCCCGUGGCUCCGACGCGGGCGGAUUCUCCGCUGAUUGUCCCGGACUACCGACACCAGGAGGAAACGGAGAAGGUCCUGGAUCAGGAUUCCGAAGAAAUUCCAGGGUUGCUGGUGGCUGUGCCGUCCCAUUCGUUCAGCGGUGUUAUCAUGGGUCAGCAAGGCUUCGGACGCAAUUGAUGGGGCACGUUCGCCCUGCCGGAGUUCACGUGUCCGGCAUCGGCCGAAUAACAUUCCAAUCUCCUUCUCAACACGCAAUGGGCGGGGAUGAAAUGGAUGUCGAUGGACCGCCACCUGCUAAACGGAUACGUCCGGGAGUCAUACCGGCAACGAUUUACCUUACUGGUUUAAUUUCACAAAUGCCUUUUUAACAGCUUUGACCUUUUUAUUUUUAAGUCAUGAAAUGUAUUGUGUGAAGUAUUCUUCUUUUGAGCAAAGGGCAGGGCACACUACAUCGAAGUUAAAAUAAUGUUGAUCACGUAAUUAGAGACUAAUAAGAAGAUUUUCAAUCAUGAUUCGAUUACAGUUCGUUUAAAUUUGUGCGACAUUUUUCACCACAUGAUUAUCUGUUUGUGGAUUUUUGCCACACUGUGCUAAAAAAGCAAAAAUCUGUCCGUAUUUCCAUCCCGUCUGCCGGAACGGAAAACAUUGUCGCUUUGGGGCGACGUGUGUGUUCGAUCAUUCAGGAGCAUCACCGGCGGAAGGACCGAAUAAACAAGCUCCUCCCGUGCCGACCAAAAUCCCGUUCUGUAUCUACGCACCGUUUUGCACGCAGCCGCGCUGCAAGCUCCUGCACAAGCAGCCAGUGGUAUGCACGUUUGGCGCGCAGUGUCGCAUGGGAGCCGCACGCUGCGCCUUCCUGCAUCCGGAAGAUCUGGCCGACGGGGGAUCGACGGUCGGGGACCGGAGUGAUCUGCAGAUAACCGAUCUGGAGGAGGACAGUGAGUUUGAGGCGGACGUGACGGGGGGCGAUGCGGAGAGCGUGGAGGGUGGACAGUUCACGGUGUCGGCGCCGCAUCCCGAGAUGGACCAACCGGAACCCAUGCCCAUUUAAGAGCGCUGCGGAGGAUGCUGGUGCAUGGAUUAUAGUUGUUACUUGUUACUAAUAGUGUAUUAUUGCAUGCGUUUUGAGAUGGUUUCUAAAAGAGCAUAGUUUCCUGCUGUAUUUUGAGCGCUGAUAUGUGCGAUCGAGCGGUUACGUUAUCAUCAGUUUUUGUUUGAUGGCCGCCAGUCAUGAGGUACACAGUACAACCUUCACUGACGGCUAAACCAGUAUUGCAGAAGUCCGAUAAAAGAAU